GUUAUCCGGAAUUAUUGGGCGUAAAGAGCUCGUAGGCGGUUUGUCGCGUCUGCUGUGAAAUCCCGAGGCUCAACCUCGGGCCUGCAGUGGGUACGGGCAGACUAGAGUGCGGUAGGGGAGAUUGGAAUUCCUGGUGUAGCGGUGGAAUGCGCAGAUAUCAGGAGGAACACCGAUGGCGAAGGCAGAUCUCUGGGCCGUAACUGACGCUGAGGAGCGAAAGGGUGGGGAGCAAACAGGCUUAGAUACCCUGGUAGUCCACCCCGUAAACGUUGGGAACUAGUUGUGGGGACCAUUCCACGGUUUCCGUGACGCAGCUAACGCAUUAAGUUCCCCGCCUGGGGAGUACGGCCGCAAGGCUAAAACUCAAAGGAAUUGACGGGGACCCGCACAAGCGGCGGAGCAUGCGGAUUAAUUCGAUGCAACGCGAAGAACCUUACCAAGGCUUGACAUACACCAGAACGGGCCAGAAAUGGUCAACUCUUUGGACACUGGUGAACAGGUGGUGCAUGGUUGUCGUCAGCUCGUGUCGUGAGAUGUUGGGUUAAGUCCCGCAACGAGCGCAACCCUCGUUCUAUGUUGCCAGCACGUAAUGGUGGGAACUCAUGGGAUACUGCCGGGGUCAACUCGGAGGAAGGUGGGGAUGACGUCAAAUCAUCAUGCCCCUUAUGUCUUGGGCUUCACGCAUGCUACAAUGGCCGGUACAAAGGGCUGCAAUACCGUGAGGUGGAGCGAAUCCCAAAAAGCCGGUCCCAGUUCGGAUUGAGGUCUGCAACUCGACCUCAUGAGGUCGGAGUCGCUAGUAAUCGCA
RNAcentral lists this ribosomal RNA (808 nucleotides) under uncultured bacterium. Its description in RNAcentral is "bacterial SSU rRNA". It matches the Rfam family "Bacterial small subunit ribosomal RNA", at positions 540 to 1346 of the family's 1533-position model. The record is from RNAcentral.